AUUAAAUGCGAUACCACACCAAACUUUUUGUUACCAACAAACCAUCUAUCAUUUCUCCACAAUCGGUAUAGUAUGGUCCCUUUUUGUAGAUGCCACCCCCCACUGACAAAUUCUUUAAAAAUGCCCUGCUUAGAAACACUAGUCACUAGACAUGCAAUUAUUGUUUACCUACGUCUGCGGAUCUGUAGAAUUCAGUAUAGAACACUAUACAUUUAUCGAGUAUAUCUGUAGUAUUACAUGUUAUAAUUGUUUCAGUGUGGGUAUUAAAUUGGGAAAUUCGAAAUAUAUAAUAUACAAUAGCUUCGGGUUUCAGGAACUUUACGAUACUUCACGUAUUUAUAGGACACAGUCUUUAAAAUAUGCGGAUGGUAUUACGAGAAGUACAGUUUUUACUAGUUUUGAAUGUAUAAAUUUAUGCUAUUUUACUCACAUGUUGCUCGUACUGCGUAACAUUUUCUCUUUGUCCCACAGUCGCCAGAAGUCAACAGCACGUUCCCCUCUUUGUGUACGUACACGAACGACUAGUUUCUAUUUUCUUCCUAUUUUCGUGCUCGAUAAUAAAUCUCUCCUGCAUUUUUCUUUCCCUCUCAGAUCUUUUUUCUCUUUCAAACAUCCCUGUAUAUCUCUCUCGCUCUUUCUUGUUUAAUUAUUUUUCGUCUUUUACGACGAAUUCCUCGAUCGUGUUCGGCAGUGGUUCGGCCUGGAAAGCCGACCUAGCUUCGAAAGUAUAUGCUCGCUCUGCCUCGCUGGUUGCACUGAGAUUUCUCCCAGAUCGUGACGUAUCCCACCAUUAGCAAGUGCGCCACUCGCUGUGUGGAAUGUCGUGUUAAAAUGCGCCAUUUCAACUGACUUUACGUAAGCUCAUACGACCAGACGAAACGGAGAAAAAGCAUAUUAUUUCUUGAGAUUUGCCGUCCUUGCUUCCUGAUCGAUGAUCAAGUGCAAAUUCCCACGCGCGCGCUUUGUUUACAUAUUGCUGCACAAAUAUUACCUUCCCCUCCCUCCCUCAGGCAGGUCAAACAAUUGUCUGUUCGCUUGCUGUAUAUUUUGCAGUACUGGAAUGGAAAAUUUUGACCAAAUAUAACUGUUAUUUCUAUCUGGAGUUGUGCAAGUAACGUCAAUUUUACGGAUGAUGGUAUAUUAGUGUUCUACUGAGCGAAUUUUUGGCCAGAUGUUGCUCGUCGAAACCAGUUUAGACCCCGUAAAAGUAUACGUGUAAUUUGAGCUAUU
Molecule: non-coding RNA, 1230 nt
Organism: Paramuricea clavata
Lineage: Eukaryota; Metazoa; Cnidaria; Anthozoa; Malacalcyonacea; Plexauridae
Source: the annotation of a GenBank genome assembly